This 630-nucleotide long non-coding RNA is filed under the name Homo sapiens (human). RNAcentral's name for it is "HSALNT0054045". The record is from RNAcentral. Lineage: Eukaryota; Metazoa; Chordata; Mammalia; Primates; Hominidae.
UCCUCAAGGUGGCAGGAGGAGCCACCACUACAUUCUCAGUCCAUGCUGAAUCAGAGGGUCAGUGGGGUAGUCCAGGGGCAGAGUUCAGCUUCAGCACCCCAGGCAGGGCCAGGCAGUCCCCUUGAAACUGCAAAACCUAACACAGAAGGUCCAGUGACAUUGCAGGAACAAGGUUCUGAUGGGCCCUUGACACUCACAGCUUUAGGGCAGAGUUUGGGGAUCUAGAACUUGAGCACAAGGGACAGAGGAUUAUCGGAGCUGGGCCCGCGAUGGUCCCAGAACAAAGCGUCCCUCCGCUGCUCGGAUGUUCCUGCAUGGAUGCUCAUGGCUCUUGUUAGCCUGCCGCACCCUGCAUCUUCUCUUCCAGACAUCAUCCCCAGGGAUCCUGGGGUUACCACUGGGACAUGAAUGAGAUGGCAUGGAGUAGCGGUGCCAGGAAGGCCAGAAAUUCAGGCCGAGAUAGAAAGAAGUCAGGUGGGAUCUUGAAGAAGUCAGGCAUUGGAUGAAAAUUUUGCCAGGCCACAAGAAGGAAGGAAAUCAGUGCAGCUGUGGGAAAGUGGACUGUAGUGCUCAAAGCACUCAGUGGCAGAGAGUCUUAUGGAAAGCUGAUGGAGGCCUUAAGAGAGGUCG